Molecule: ribosomal RNA, 157 nt
Filed under: uncultured eukaryote
Lineage: Eukaryota
Description: partial 18S ribosomal RNA
Rfam family: Eukaryotic small subunit ribosomal RNA
Source: RNAcentral
UGGUGGAGCGAUUUGUCUGGUUAAUUCCGUUAACGAACGAGACCUCGGCCUGCUAAAUAGCCACGCCGGCCGCUCCCCGCAAGGGGAACCUGGCCGGUGGCCGCGCUUCUUAGAGGGACCGCCCGACCCCAGCGGACGGAAGCCCGAGGCAAUAACA